RNAcentral lists this ribosomal RNA (1056 nucleotides) under Acinetobacter sp. RNAcentral's name for it is "bacterial SSU rRNA". It matches the Rfam family "Bacterial small subunit ribosomal RNA", at positions 37 to 1083 of the family's 1533-position model. The record is from RNAcentral. Lineage: Bacteria; Pseudomonadati; Pseudomonadota; Gammaproteobacteria; Moraxellales; Moraxellaceae.
UGGGGGGGCGGGCUUACACAUGCAAGUCGAGCGGAGAGAGGUAGCUUGCUACUGAUCUUAGCGGCGGACGGGUGAGUAAUGCUUAGGAAUCUGCCUAUUAGUGGGGGACAACAUUUCGAAAGGAAUGCUAAUACCGCAUACGUCCUACGGGAGAAAGCAGGGGAUCUUCGGACCUUGCGCUAAUAGAUGAGCCUAAGUCGGAUUAGCUAGUUGGUGGGGUAAAGGCCUACCAAGGCGACGAUCUGUAGCGGGUCUGAGAGGAUGAUCCGCCACACUGGGACUGAGACACGGCCCAGACUCCUACGGGAGGCAGCAGUGGGGAAUAUUGGACAAUGGGCGGAAGCCUGAUCCAGCCAUGCCGCGUGUGUGAAGAAGGCCUUAUGGUUGUAAAGCACUUUAAGCGAGGAGGAGGCUACUUUAGUUAAUACCUAGAGAUAGUGGACGUUACUCGCAGAAUAAGCACCGGCUAACUCUGUGCCAGCAGCCGCGGUAAUACAGAGGGUGCAAGCGUUAAUCGGAUUUACUGGGCGUAAAGCGCGCGUAGGCGGCUAAUUAAGUCAAAUGUGAAAUCCCCGAGCUUAACUUGGGAAUUGCAUUCGAUACUGGUUAGCUAGAGUGUGGGAGAGGAUGGUAGAAUUCCAGGUGUAGCGGUGAAAUGCGUAGAGAUCUGGAGGAAUACCGAUGGCGAAGGCAGCCAUCUGGCCUAACACUGACGCUGAGGUGCGAAAGCAUGGGGAGCAAACAGGAUUAGAUACCCUGGUAGUCCAUGCCGUAAACGAUGUCUACUAGCCGUUGGGGCCUUUGAGGCUUUAGUGGCGCAGCUAACGCGAUAAGUAGACCGCCUGGGGAGUACGGUCGCAAGACUAAAACUCAAAUGAAUUGACGGGGGCCCGCACAAGCGGUGGAGCAUGUGGUUUAAUUCGAUGCAACGCGAAGAACCUUACCUGGCCUUGACAUAGUAAGAACUUUCCAGAGAUGGAUUGGUGCCUUCGGGACUUACAUACAGGUGCUGCAUGGCUGUCGUCAGCUCGUGGUCGUGGAGAAUGUUUGGGUUAA